UACAUGGGGUGCAAACGUUGCUCGGAAUUAUUGGGCGUAAAGCGCACGUAGGCGGUUCGUUAAGUCGGAUGUGAAAGCCCUCGGCUCAACUGAGGAAGUGCACCCGAAACUGGCGAGCUUGAGUACGAAAGAGGAUCGCGGAAUUCCGGGUGUAGCGGUGGAAUGCGUAGAGAUCCGGAAGAACACCGGUGGCGAAGGCGGCCUGCUGGGCAGUGGCUGACGCUGAGGCGCGACAGCGUGGGGAGCAAACAGG
Molecule: ribosomal RNA, 253 nt
Filed under: uncultured bacterium
Lineage: Bacteria
Description: partial 16S ribosomal RNA
Rfam family: Bacterial small subunit ribosomal RNA
Source: RNAcentral